RNAcentral lists this ribosomal RNA (398 nucleotides) under uncultured bacterium. RNAcentral describes it as "partial 16S ribosomal RNA". It matches the Rfam family "Bacterial small subunit ribosomal RNA", at positions 523 to 918 of the family's 1533-position model. The record is from RNAcentral.
AUACGUAGGGUGCGAGCGUUGUCCGGAAUUACUGGGCGUAAAGAGCUCGUAGGUGGUUUGUCGCGUCGUCUGUGAAAUUCCGGGGCUUAACUCCGGGCGUGCAGGCGAUACGGGCAUAACUUGAGUACUGUAGGGGAGACUGGAAUUCCUGGUGUAGCGGUGAAAUGCGCAGAUAUCAGGAGGAACACCGGUGGCGAAGGCGGGUCUUUGGGCAGUAACUGACGCUGAGGAGCGAAAGCAUGGGUAGCGAACAGGAUUAGAUACCCUGGUAGUCCAUGCCGUAAACGGUGGGCGCUAGGUGUAGGGGUCUUCCACGACUUCUGUGCCGUAGCUAACGCAUUAAGCGCCCCGCCUGGGGAGUACGGCCGCAAGGCUAAAACUCAAAUGAAUUGACGGGG